AACCUAGCACACCUGCGGUGUGUACCUGCUGAAGGAUCAUUACCGAGUUUACAAACUCCCAACCCUUUGUGAACCUUACCAUAUUGUUGCUUCGGCGGGACCGCCCCGGCGCCUUCGGGCCCGGAACCAGGCGCCCGCCGGAGGCCCCAAACUCUUAUGUCUUUAGUGGUUUUCUCCUCUGAGUGACACAUAAACAAAUAAAUAAAAACUUUCAGCAACGGAUCUCAGAUCGGAAGAGCA
Molecule: unclassified non-coding RNA, 240 nt
Filed under: soil metagenome
Description: partial contains 5.8S ribosomal RNA, internal transcribed spacer 2, and large subunit ribosomal RNA
Source: RNAcentral